GGGGAAACCCAGGCUAAUACCGCAUACGUCCUACGGGAGAAAGGGGGCUUCGGCUCUCGCUAUUGGAUGAGCCUAUGUCGGAUUAGCUAGUUGGUGAGGUAAUGGCUCACCAAGGCAACGAUCCGUAGCUGGUCUGAGAGGAUGAUCAGCCACAUCGGGACUGAGACACGGCCCGAACUCCUACGGGAGGCAGCAGUGGGGAAUAUUGGACAAUGGGCGAAAGCCUGAUCCAGCCAUGCCGCGUGUGUGAAGAAGGCCCUCGGGUUGUAAAGCACUUUCAGCGAGGAAGAACGCCUAGUGGUUAAUACCCAUUAGGAAAGACAUCACUCGCAGAAGAAGCACCGGCUAACUCCGUGCCAGCAGCCGCGGUAAUACGGAGGGUGCAAGCGUUAAUCGGAAUUACUGGGCGUAAAGCGCGCGUAGGUGGCUUGAUAAGCCGGUUGUGAAAGCCCCGGGCUCAACCUGGGAACGGCAUCCGGAACUGUCAAGCUAGAGUGCAGGAGAGGAAGGUAGAAUUCCCGGUGUAGCGGUGAAAUGCGUAGAGAUCGGGAGGAAUACCAGUGGCGAAGGCGGCCUUCUGGACUGACACUGACACUGAGGUGCGAAAGCGUGGGUAGCAAACAGGAUUAGAUACCCUGGUAGUCCACGCCGUAAACGAUGUCGACCAGCCGUUGGGUGCCUAGCGCACUUUGUGGCGAAGUUAACGCGAUAAGUCGACCGCCUGGGGAGUACGGCCGCAAGGUUAAAACUCAAAUGAAUUGACGGGGGCCCGCACAAGCGGUGGAGCAUGUGGUUUAAUUCGAUGCAACGCGAAGAACCUUACCUACUCUUGACAUCCUGCGAACUUGUGAGAGAUCACUUGGUGCCUUCGGGAACGCAGAGACAGGUGCUGCAUGGCUGUCGUCAGCUCGUGUUGUGAAAUGUUGGGUUAAGUCCCGUAACGAGCGCAACCCUUGUCCUUAUUUGCCAGCGGGUAAUGCCGGGAACUCUAAGGAGACUGCCGGUGACAAACCGGAGGAAGGUGGGGACGACGUCAAGUCAUCAUGGCCCUUACGAGUAGGGCUACACACGUGCUACAAUGGCCGGUACAAAGGGUUGCGAGCUCGCGAGAGUCAGCUAAUCCCGAAAAGCCGGUCUCAGUCCGGAUCGGAGUCUGCAACUCGACUCCGUGAAGUCGGAAUCGCUAGUAAUCGUGAAUCAGAAUGUCACGGUGAAUACGUUCCCGGGCCUUGUACAC
RNAcentral lists this ribosomal RNA (1237 nucleotides) under Halomonas sp. PEB08. Its description in RNAcentral is "bacterial SSU rRNA". It matches the Rfam family "Bacterial small subunit ribosomal RNA", at positions 150 to 1388 of the family's 1533-position model. Lineage: Bacteria; Pseudomonadati; Pseudomonadota; Gammaproteobacteria; Oceanospirillales; Halomonadaceae. The record is from RNAcentral.